Molecule: ribosomal RNA, 139 nt
Filed under: bacterium 072816
Lineage: Bacteria
Description: partial 16S rRNA
Rfam family: Bacterial small subunit ribosomal RNA
Source: RNAcentral
UGGGGAAUAUUGCACAAUGGGCGCAAGCCUGAUGCAGCGACGCCGCGUGAGGGAUGACGGCCUUCGGGUUGUAAACCUCUUUCAGCAGGGACGAAGCGCAAGUGACGGUACCUGUAGAAGAAGACCGGCCAACUACGUG